GUACUCGCUUCGGCGGCACAUAUACUAAAAUUGGAACGAUACACGGAAGAUUAGCAUGGCCCUUGCGCAAGGAUGACACGCAAAAUCGUGAAGCGUUCCACAUUUUU
RNAcentral lists this small nuclear RNA (107 nucleotides) under Diabrotica virgifera virgifera (western corn rootworm). The record is from RNAcentral. Lineage: Eukaryota; Metazoa; Arthropoda; Insecta; Coleoptera; Chrysomelidae.